RNAcentral lists this ribosomal RNA (491 nucleotides) under uncultured bacterium. Its description in RNAcentral is "partial 16S ribosomal RNA". It matches the Rfam family "Bacterial small subunit ribosomal RNA", at positions 29 to 507 of the family's 1533-position model. The record is from RNAcentral.
AGUGAACGCUGGCGGUAGGCCUAACACAUGCAAGUCGAACGGCAGCACAGUAAGAGCUUGCUCUUACGGGUGGCGAGUGGCGGACGGGUGAGGAAUACAUCGGAAUCUACUUUUUCGUGGGGGAUAACGUAGGGAAACUUACGCUAAUACCGCAUACGACCUACGGGUGAAAGCAGGGGAUCUUCGGACCUUGCGCGAUUGAAUUAGCCGAUGUCGGAUUAGCGAGCUGGCGGGGUAAAGGCCCAGCAAGGCGACGAUCCGUAGCUGGUCUGAGAGGAUGAUCGGCAACACUGGAGAUGAGAUAAGGGCCAAACUCGGACGUGAGGCACGAGCGGGAAACAUACGAGAAUGAGCGGAAGCGUAAACCACACAUACGGGGAAAGUGAAGAAGGCCUUCGGGUUGUAAAGCAAUUUUGUUGGGAAAGAAAAGAAGCAGAUUAACACCGCGCUGUACGACCGGUACCAAGAAAAUAAGCACCGGUAACUUUGUU